UGCAAAAAUAGUUGUGGUUUUGGUAAUUUUUAAUGGCAAAAACCACAAUUACUUUUGCACC
RNAcentral lists this non-coding RNA (61 nucleotides) under Pan troglodytes (chimpanzee). Lineage: Eukaryota; Metazoa; Chordata; Mammalia; Primates; Hominidae. The record is from RNAcentral.